GUGGUCGUGUGGGGCCUUGGGGUCCGUGAGGAGGACUUUGGGUCUCACUGAAAGAACAUCAACAGCACAUAUGCUGAAAUUGGAACGAUACAGAAGAGAUUCACAUGGUCUCUGCACAAGGAAGUCACAGAAAUUCAUGAAAUGUUCCAUGUUUUU
This 156-nucleotide small nuclear RNA is filed under the name Vulpes vulpes (red fox). The record is from RNAcentral. Lineage: Eukaryota; Metazoa; Chordata; Mammalia; Carnivora; Canidae.